CCCGGCCUUCGAAGUAUGGUUCUGAAGAAUCAGAGUCUCGACCUUCCAAACCGCGCCCCUCGAAGUACGAUGAAGAAGAGUAUGAACGCCCUCAAAAACCUCGACCUUCGAAAUAUGAAGAGGAAGAAGAAUAUGGACGGCCACAGAGGCCGCGACCCUCUAAGUACGAAGAAGAGGAGGAAUAUGGACGCCCUCAGAAGCCUCGACCCUCAAAGUACGAAGAAGAAGAGGAAUAUGGACGCCCUCAGAAACCUCGACCCUCAAAGUACGAAGAAGAGGAGGAAUAUGGACGCCCUCAGAAACCUCGACCCUCAAAGUACGAAGAAGAGGAGGAAUAUGGACGCCCUCAGAAACCUCGACCCUCAAAGUACGAAGAAGAGGAAGAAUAUGGGCGCCCUCAAAAACCUCGUCCCUCAAUGCACGAAGAAGAGGAAUAUGGACGCCCUCAGAAGCCUCGACCCUCGAAGUAUGAAGAAGAAGAGUAUGAACGGCCACAGAAGCCUCGUCCCUCCAAAUACGAAGAAGAGACAACAGGGCCAUAUCGAGACCAUUCUUCAAAAUUCGAAGGUGCUUAUGGAUCUUACAAAAGUGCAGCUGCUUUAUUGCUAAUUGUGCAUUAUCGUUCAGUAUCAUUAUAUUGACUCUUUUUUACUCUUCCUUUAUAUCCCUUGUGGUUGAUGCUUCGCUGACGUCAGUUUUUCAAGUGAAUACGUCUUUCGAAGGGUGCAAUUGUACCAUGCUUAACAGCUAGUUUAGAUGCGUUUAGAGUGUUUUAGUGGUUGGCUUCAAGUCGGUCUUAC
RNAcentral lists this long non-coding RNA (800 nucleotides) under Physcomitrium patens. RNAcentral describes it as "long non-coding RNA (PPAT_LNC013234)". The record is from RNAcentral. Lineage: Eukaryota; Viridiplantae; Streptophyta; Bryopsida; Funariales; Funariaceae.